CCUAACAACAGAAAAAGUUAGUAGUUAUUUUCAAAAUUUUCCCCAACCCCUGCUUUAUUCAUUAGAACCUUCCAUUUUCUUCUCUUCACUGUAUCAAUAAUGUUUUAGAUCUAGUAAUGGUGCCUUAAUUACAGGAUAGAGAAUCUUAACCUGGGACUACAGAUCAUGAAUGGACUGUAGAAGUCUGUGAACCUCGUGGUAAUUUACAGAAAUUUAAAUGUAAAAGGUAGAAUAAUAAGAAAUUUCAACUAUUUAUAAUCCAUGAAAAUGGCAAUUUUAUGUGAUUAAACCUAAUACAUUUUGGAGAGGGUGGUCUAGGGAUCAUUAGAGGAAGAAACUCGUGACCUAAAAAAUAAAAACUUCUAAUUAGAAGAUUCAGGCAUAUAUUAUUAAAUUUUACUUAGAGUUUGACAGCAGCUAUUGAUGAUUUUGAGGCUUUUUUCCCCUGAAUCAUUUGAUUUACAAUUUAUAUAAAACUACUUGAAUAUAUUCUGACAAAAACUGCCAUAUUAUAAAAUAUACUUAAUGGGAUACACUUAAAACAUAUAAGGAAACCAGUAUAAAAUAAAUAAUUUUUACAAAAUAUAUCUGUAGAUACGAAGAUUAAGAUUUUAUUAAAAAUAUUUUUUUUAAGUUCAUUUUGUGUGUGUGUGUGAGAGAGAGAGAGAGAGAGAGAGAUAAUGAGGGGGAGGGACAGAAAGAGAGACAGACAGAGGAUCUGAAGUGGGUUCUGCACUGACUACAGAGAGCCUGAUGUGGGGCUCGAACCCUGAGAUCAUGACCUGCGCUGAAGUCAGAUGCUUAACUGACUGACCACCCAGGUGCCAAGAAUUUAUUUUAAUUCAGUAUAGACUUGGACCUCAUAAUAUAAUUCAUGUUUAUAGCAUACUAUAGUAACUAUGUUUUUUCAAAACAUAUUUACUUGGUCUCAGUGUAGAGGUCAAAUAAGGUUACAAAAUGAAGGCAGUAUUCAAGUGUUUGAGCAACAAUCCAUUAAAAAAAAACUAUAUAAUUUAAAUAUGUAAAAAAAAAAAAUCUUCCCACAAUAAACAGAAGAGUUGUUUUCUAAAUUAGGCACUAAUGCUUCUCCAAGCUUAAAUGCCAUUCAUUUCUGGUGUGUUUCAGUGUACCUUCAUAGUAAAGUUGCAAAGAAUAACAACUACUAUAAAUAAAAACUUGCUGUGUGAUGUGCUUGGUGUUAAGUUGUAUAAUUAAUUCCCACAAUAAACGUAUACCUAUAAACGUAGGUCUUUUGUAACUUUUAUAAUCUUUACGAAGGAUAAACCUAAAGCUUAGUUCAGUUAAGUGACUGGCCUAGAACCAUAUAGCUAAGCAAGUGACCUAGAAUCUGAAACCAUGUAUGUUCUAAUUCUAGAAUUUCUAUUCUCAAUCACUGCACUAGUCUUCCAGAUGGUAUAAUUGUAAUUUUUUUAAUGUUUAUUUUUGAGAGAGAGAGAGAGAGAGAGACAGACAAACAGAACACAAGCAGGGGAGGGACAGAAAGAGAGGGAGACACAGAGUCCAAAGCAGGCUCCAGGCUCCGAGCUGUCAGCACAGAGACUGAUGUGGGGCUCGAACUCAUGAACCAUGAGAUCAUGACCUGAGCUGAAGUCAGAUGGUUAACUGACUGAGCCACCCAGGUGCCCCGUAGAUGGUAUAAUUAUAAUAAUACAAUAAUGGUAACAGUAAGUAAGCACAGAAGAUGGACCCCAGAGCUGUUAGAUUCCAAAGCUUGUACUUUAACUACUGUAUGAUAUUCUCUCUUUGGAUAGGAAAGCUGAAAUAAAUGAGUUAUAAGUAGUUAUUGAGAUUUCACAGAGAUAGUGAGAAGUUCUAGCCUCUUAAAGGCUUUAAAACCCUGUCAUAGAUCAUAAAAAAAUCCAUGAUGAGAACAAAUCUGUAUUUUCCUAAUUAAGUAUCGUGUGAUAGCUUUUAUUUGCUCUUUAUAAAACUAUACAGGAAUUUCCCAUAAUUGGCUCACAAAAUGAAAAGGCCAGUUGUUAACUUUUUUAUAACAAUCUUCAUUAUUACUCAAAGCAAUAUUCCUAUUUCCAGACUUUUUCCUCUUCACUUACAUAAUUUAAAUGGCAUUCAAGAAGAGAAUAAGAGAAGAUCCAGGUUCCUUUUAUUUUUCAUUUUGCCUUAUCCCAUCAGUUUUAUAAAGUGGUACUGCUACUUUCCUUCUCUUCCACUCACAACAACGAUAUAGCUUAGAGACCCUACAUAGUUGGAGCAGUCUUGUAUUUCUUUCUUUCUUUCUUUUUAUAAAAUUUACUUAUUUAUUUUGAGAGAGAGAGAAAGAGUGGAGGAAUGGCAGAGAGAGGGGGGACAGAAGAUCCAAAGUGGGCUCUGUGCUGACAGCAGGGAGCCCAAUGUGGGGCUCGAACUCACAAACUGUGAGAUCAUGACCUGAACCAAAGUCAGACAGUUAACCAACUGAGCCACCCAGGCACCUCAGUCUUGUAUUUCUUUAUUCAUCCUAUACAGCUACCAGUCUGAUACUGGGUACUAAGCAAUUCUACUGAUAGUUAAGACUCACUAUUGCUAGUCAUAAUACCUUGAUUUUUCUUCCUUCUCCUUUACUAGGUGGGAGGUAGUAAAGUUCCAGUUCACUAAACUGAAACACUGGUUCUGAGAGAAUCUGCUCUAGAACUACAAUUAAAGAGCUUGGGGUUAAAUUAGAAGGAUCUAACCCUUCUCAUAGAACCCAUUAAGGCUUACCCCUAGAACACCAAUGAAUGACUUCCAUGAUCCCUUUUAAUUCUGAUAGUCCAUGAAAUGGUAAUAAGUAAGGUAUGAGCUGAUAAGGACAUGGCUCUUCAGUAGUAGCUCAUCCUAACAUGUUUUUAAUUCACAUUUCUAGGGUCAAGUACUAACCAAUCUGCUAAUCUCCUCUUGUCUAUCUGGCGCAGAUCUUGCUGUUGCUUUGAUCAUAGUGGAAGUCUGAUUGUCCGUUAGCUUCUUGAUACAUCGUUGCCCGGCCACGAUAUUACAGACCUACAAAUGGAAAAAAGUUUUGUACUAGAUGCAUAUAUCUUUUUUUAACUCUCAUUGGUAAUUACAUGUGAAAUUAAAAUUUCUUAAAAU
This 3087-nucleotide long non-coding RNA is filed under the name Lynx pardinus (Iberian lynx). The record is from RNAcentral. Lineage: Eukaryota; Metazoa; Chordata; Mammalia; Carnivora; Felidae.